Molecule: ribosomal RNA, 253 nt
Filed under: uncultured bacterium
Lineage: Bacteria
Description: partial 16S ribosomal RNA
Rfam family: Bacterial small subunit ribosomal RNA
Source: RNAcentral
UACAGAGGGUGCGAGCGUUAAUCGGAAUUACUGGGCGUAAAGCGUGCGUAGGUGGUUUGUUAAGUCUGUUGUGAAAGCCCCGGGCUCAACCUGGGAAUGGCAAUGGAUACUGGCAAGCUAGAGUGCGGUAGAGGGUAGUGGAAUUCCCGGUGUAGCGGUGAAAUGCGUAGAGAUCGGGAGGAACACCAGUGGCGAAGGCGGCUACCUGGACCAGCACUGACACUGAGGCACGAAAGCGUGGGGAGCAAACAGG